UACGAGGGGCGAGCGUUACUCGGAAUUACUGGGCGUAAAGCGUGCGUAGGUGGUUUGUUAAGUCUGUUGUGAAAGCCCCGGGCUCAACCUGGGAAUGGCAAUGGAUACUGGCAGGCUAGAGUGCGGUAGAGGGUAGUGGAAUUCCGGUGUAGCGGUGAAAUGCGUAGAGAUCGGGAGGAACACCAGUGGCGAAGGCGGCUACCUGGACCAGCACUGACACUGAGGCACGAAAGCGUGGGGAGCAAACAGG
Molecule: ribosomal RNA, 250 nt
Filed under: uncultured bacterium
Lineage: Bacteria
Description: partial 16S ribosomal RNA
Rfam family: Bacterial small subunit ribosomal RNA
Source: RNAcentral